CACCAUGGCUCCACCACCACCUCUGCUCCCGCUUCUCCUCAUCCUCCUCGUCACCGUUCCUCUCUUCCCCACCGCCGCGCCGACGGCCACGACCCUGCCGCUGUACCGCCACCUCCCGCACGUGGCCGAGGCCGAGGCCGAGGACGCGCACCACCACCCGCUGUCCCGCCUGGCCGCCGCGUCGCUGGCCCGCGCGUCGCACCUCAAGCGCCGGGGACGCGCCAGCCACCACAGCCAAAAAGGAUCAUCAUCAGGCGGCCACAAGUCAAUCCCAGCCACCGCCGCACUGUACCCGCACUCCUACGGCGGCUACGCCUUCACGGCGUCGCUCGGCACGCCGCCGCAGCCGCUCCCCGUGCUGCUCGACACCGGCAGCCAGC
Molecule: long non-coding RNA, 380 nt
Filed under: Sorghum bicolor (sorghum)
Lineage: Eukaryota; Viridiplantae; Streptophyta; Magnoliopsida; Poales; Poaceae
Description: long non-coding RNA (SBIC_LNC011501)
Source: RNAcentral